RNAcentral lists this long non-coding RNA (31317 nucleotides) under Citrus maxima (pomelo). Its description in RNAcentral is "long non-coding RNA (CMAX_LNC003650)". Lineage: Eukaryota; Viridiplantae; Streptophyta; Magnoliopsida; Sapindales; Rutaceae. The record is from RNAcentral.
GUUCCUCCAACGUAGACGAACACCGGUUAGGUCCAUCCGCUAUCGACUCGAUCCUCUCGGCUAUCGCUCAAGCCAAAGCGGAAGCCAAUCCCGGCUCCGCUCUUAUCACCACUUCUCAUGGCAAAUUCUUCUCCAACGGCUUCGACCUCGCCUGGGCCCAAGCCGCUGGCUCCCGAACCGGCGCCCGGGAACGCCUCCACUACAUGUUCAAAUCCUUCAGGCCGCUUGUAGCCGCCAUGAUGGAUCUACCUAUGCCUACUGUGGCCGCCGUGAACGGCCACGCAGCCGCCGCGGGGUUCAUUCUGGCUUUGAGCCAUGAUUACGUCGUCAUGAGGCGUGAUAAGGGCGUGCUGUACAUGAGCGAGGUGGAUAUCGGGCUCACCUUGCCGGAUUAUUGUGCUGCUCUGUUUAGGGAAAAGGUCGGAUCGGCUACGGCUCGGCGCGAUGUGUUGUUGAGGGCUAAGAAGAUCAAGGGAGAGGAGGCGUUGAGGAUGGGUCUCGUGGAGGCAGCAUACGAUAGCGAGGAACGAGUGGCCGAGGCUAGUAUGCGCCUGGGGAAGCAGUUGGCUGGUAGAAAGUGGGCUGGUGAGGUGUAUGCGGAAAUAAGGAAGAGUUUGUACCCGGACUUAUGUGGCGUGCUGGGAUUGGACAUCAAGGCUGUUUUUUCCAAUUCUAAACUUUGAAUUUGAUUAAACGCGAAAAUAACUACGAAGUUUAGAGUUGAAUAAUAAUUAUUCAAUCAUGCCCAAGAAUUUGGGAUACGAAAGAAUUUCAGAAUUCGGAGAUGCUUGUACAAUAAUAAAGAAAGAUUUAAAGAGAUAGAGUUAUAUUUUUUCUUUUUGAAGAAAAUAAGCUAACAUUUCCUUCAUUACAAGUGAAAAUUAGUACAUCUUCACAUUUAGUACAAAUAUAAAAUUAUACAAACAAUCUCGAUAGAUAUCUUUACAAGUACACAAUUGUUGAAUUAAUAUAUUUUUCACACUUAAGAACAAGUGAAAAAAUCAGCACAUUAAAGAUACUUCAGUGAAGUAGCUAUUCCGACGAAGGAGAUGUACCCAACAGAAAGCCAUUCACCAAAUAAAGUUCUUUCAUGGUACCCUGUCUUUAGAUUUGAUACUUCAACUAGUUCAGGAAUAGAUUUUCUGUCUUGAUCCACUUGUUAUAGCCAUGAAAAAGAUGUAAGAUACAGGAGAAACGGUGCCUGCAGCUCUCACAAGCUGAUUCAAUAUAUUUUCCGUUAGAUUUUAAUUGGUAGUAUUUCGGAUACAUCAAAACAACUACAGCCUUGAAGAUGUAUGUAACACGAAAGAUGUUAACAUAAUUUUUUAUAGAAAUUAUAAUAAAAUCUACUUUGUUUAAAUUAAAAAAUACAAAAUUAAUUAGAUAUAAAGGAAUAAUAUUUUUAUGAAUUGAUUGUUUUAUAUCUUUAAAAUAAUUAAUUGAUAAAAUUAUAUAUAUAUUAACAGAUAAAAUUAUAAAUAUAUAUGUAUAAAAUAAUUCUGUAAUAUGAGGAUGCACUAACAGAUUAAAAAAAUAUAAAGUUCAAUAACAGAUAAAUACACACAAUUGUCCAAUUUUCAAUAAUUUAUUUUUGAAAGAUUUUAAUAUAAGUUAUCUCUUUAUUUCUUUACUUCAAUUUUCAUACAUAUUCCAAGAACACUAUCAUAAGUACUUUAUAUUAAUGGGAUGUUUGAUAUUUAGAAGUUGUGACUUUUAAUCUACAUUGUUAUACAUUGUUAUAUAAGUAACCGUCAUGUUACAUAUAAUAUAACUUACCGCAACUCAAAAGUAGUUACUCAAUACCAAAAAUUAUAACAUUUAAAAUAAGUAGGAGGUCAUAGGUAACUAUUUUUAGAUUUAUUGUAAGUUACAUAUGAUAUAACUUUUAGCAAGAUCCUAUUACAUAUCAAUAAUAUUGACUCUUGAUAUAUAGCAUACUAUAUGCUGUACAUGCAAUUACUUUAAGAAAGAAGAAAUAUUGUUCUUUUGAAUUGAAAGCUUAUUGAUCUUGAUAUUUCUCCCAUAGUUUUUUUAUUCAACAAUUUGGAGGAUCUUUGUUGCAAUCAAAGCGUCUUUGUUGACCAAGAUGGUAUGCUCUCGCUUGCUCAGUGUCUCUUCUUCUUUGUGGUCUAUAUGCAACGAAAAUUUUCAUCUUAUUUUCUCCUUGUGGUGUUAAAAUUACAUUAACACCAUUGAAGAUAAAUUUCACAUAUGCCACUAGCUCAUUACGUACGUUGUUAAGAUAAAGUAAUUUUUGCCACUUAGCCUUUAGCAAAGUGGUGAAUCACUUUCCUCAAAGUUAAGCAUAACUAUAAGGGUAGUGGUUCGAGUCUCUAUGGACUCAACCUCCCACAAUUAAACUUAAUUGUGUGAAGUUUAUUUACAAGUCUUCCUCCCUUGCGAAAUACGAAUGGAGCAAAGAUAUCACUUCUCUGUGAGGGUUAUAUGUUUGAGCAUGUAUUUUAUAAAAUUUAAUUUAAUAAUGUAAGUCUCAAUUAUAUAUCUGAUUGUAAAUAUCAGUGUAACGAUCUAUUGAUAUAGCAGUUAUAAAUAUUUGUAUAAUACAAUAAUCUGAUGUGUAAUCAGUAUUUAAAAAAAAGAUAAAAUAAUUUUCAAUAUUUGCUGAGAGUGCAUAGAAAAAAUCUAAAAUCGGAGAAUGUGAAGUUGUGGUAUAUUUUUAUUAAUUUUUGUAAUUCAAUUAACUUAUGCCAAGGGCCUAUUAUUUUUCGUCCUUUUCCGAGGUGGUACUAGGCCUAGCUAAGACCAAGACUUCUUGUAACAUCCCGAAAGAUAUUUACCGACUAUGAUCUGAAUAAGGACUAAACACUAUAUUAUAAAAAAAAAUUUAUAAAAUAUAUUUAUUUCCUAAACUAUAAAACUUAAUUUUUUUUUAUUUGAUUUAUAAUAACAUAAAUGUCAAAUAAUCAUAUUUAAGAUUUUUUUAUUUACAAAAACUAAGAAGAUGUCACUUAUAUUUAGUUAUUUAAAAGAGAAAAAUGAACAUUUCAUUCAAAUAUUCAUAUUUGGACCCGUUUAGACUUUGAAAAUUUUAAAUUUAUUUAGAUUUCAGACAAAAAUAAUAAUGCUAUCUAACUGUGGCUAUUUCUGGUACUUUGAUUAUGCAAUAUUUCUUUUUGUACAAAGAGGAGAGUUGCAAACUUUGUUGCAAUGUUUGCAUUAGACAGCAUGGAGGUCCUGUUUGAUAUUGAGAUAUUACGACUUUUAAGUUGUAGUUACUAUUAAAAAAAAAGAAAAUAAAAUAAAAAAAAGUUAUAGUUAUGAAACAAAAGUUAAUAGUGUGUGGUAAAUAUAACUUUUAAAUAACAAUUUUUAAAAAAUUGUAAAGAUAUCAUAGUGUUUUAUCCUACGAAUGUAUAAUUAAAUCAACUUACCUUCUAAAACUUAGUUUCUAAACUAUAGCAAUAAGUAUUUACUAAACGUUAACACUUUAAGUAUUAUAACUUGGAAGAUGCAAUUCUCCAAUCACACUACCAAAUAAGGCAUUUAUUAAUAAAAUAUUAACAUUUGUAUCUUAUAAUUAGAGAAUAUGAUGCAAGGUUAGGAACAAACUUUGAUCUGCUGAGGUGAUAGUGUCUUCGACCAUUGAAAAUGAGUUGUGUUUGCCAAAUUCAAGUGUUGUCGUUACAGUAUAUAAAGAGUUGAGAUUGAGCAUUUUGGUCCUAUUUGGUAUUCAAGUACCAUAUCUUUUAAGUUACAGGUUACCACUUGCUGUAGAAAAAAAAUUAUAAUUAUAAAAUAAAAGUUAAUAGUAUGUAGUAAGUAAAAAUUUUUAAAUAACAAUUUUGACAAGAUUAAUAAAAAUAUAAUAGAUUUUUUAUCAUACAAGUAUAAAGUCAAACCAACUUAAUUUUCAAGAUAUAACAGCUAAUGUUUACUAAACAUGCACAUUAAAGUUGUAGCUCUGUUCAGCCUCAAUCACAAACAGGGCCUUUGGAUCAAGAACGGAGAAUGCAAGAAUCUAGUGAAGGGAACCUAUGUCUAUCUUCACAUCCCAAUACAAUUUCAAUCUAUUAUUAAAAUGUAAUCUUUUACAUACUAUAAUGAAAUGAAACUUAAGAUUGAGCCAAAUCUUAAUAAUAUCAUAAUAUUUCUCCAUUUUCUUUUGCAGGACUUCCCUAGUGAAUGAGCAAAAGAAUGGGUAUCUUCCCUAGUGAAUGAGCAAAAGAAUGGGUAUCCGGUGAAUGAAAUUUGCAUGGAAGAAGACUGAGAUUGGAAAUUCUCUUGGAAUUUCUGAAGCACUAUAACAAGAAAUUAAGAUUGACUUAUUACACUUGUAAUUGACUUAUCAAAAUUUUGAUUGUUCCGACUUGAUGAAUGGUUAAUUGGUAAAGAUUUUGCCUGAUUAUGUGCUUGAUCUUGAUUGUUUUUCACUGGAAAGAAACAAAAGUUAUUUUGGGCUCUAUUUGUCACAACGCAAGCAGUGGGUUUUGUUGGAUUGAAUAUUGCAAAGACAUCCCUUAAUUAUAAGAGCAGCACUGUAAUCAUGGGUUAAGACUUAUGUUGAGAAAGUUUGGGAAGAUUCACCUUCACAACACCCCUAAUAAGAAAAAAUAAAAACAAAACCCAAAGCGAAAAAAUCCCUACGAAAAUAAUCAUAUUCUUCAUAAUCUAUAUAUAUUUCAUGUUUCUAUCUUUUCAACUUCAAGUCUUCAAUGUUCAAAACUCUUAUACAUGUAUUGGAAAACACACCCUAACCCUAUCCCAGCCAACACACAAACAUAAAUACAACAAAAAUGAUAUGCAAUCCAUCAUUGAAUCCCACAUGAUGAACCUCAUUCUAGUGAGCUCUUGUUUUUAUUUAUUUUUGAGAAUUUUUUAAUUCUUUUUUUACCUACGUAGGGUUUCAUCUAAGGGGUUCAAUGACGAUUAUAAGAAUUACAAUAUAGAUUAUGAAAUAUUUAAGUUAAAAUUACUUAAUAUAUAACAAUAGUUGAUGGUGACAUAUUAUUUAAAAUAAAAAGUUUGCACCAAAAUUUUGAAAAUAUAACAUUUUAUGAACAAGCAAAAUUAAACAUGUUUCAUUUUUUUUUCUUAUAAUUUGAAAAUUUAUUUUAUUUUCAAUUGACUAUAAUUUUAGAAGUAUUUUUUAAAAGAAUUUUAAGAGUACAAUACGAACAAAAAGCAUAGAUCCUUGAUAAAAUCUAAAACAUAAUCAAAUGACAAAUUUUAUCAUGAUUUGUUUUUCCGCAUGUCAGUAAAUGUACUAUAGAUUUGGGAUUAUGGAUGUGCACAUUAAACUUAAACAAAUAAAUAUUAGAAAGCAAAAACAUGUGAGUCACGUGCUAAAUAAAUAAACAAGAAAGAUCAUAUUAAAUGAAAAAAGAAAUGAACUACUGAGAUUAGAUCAGGAAUGAUCUAAUGUUCCCUAGUCGAAAGUUCCUACAAAUAGAAAUAUUGAACUAUUUGAAAGGGAGGGACAAAGAUUCUCAUAAGAGAGUUAACAGAUUCUCUCUAGAGAGAGAAAAAUAUUCUCUAAACUGAAGCUUCUUGAACCUCGUAUUUUCUAAGGAACCAAAUGCUGACUUGAAUGUCAGAGUACCUUUUACAAGUACCAAAUCAUUGCUCGAAGCUUUGGAAGCUUGAAGAUGAAGGACAUAAUCAUCGUUUUCGGGUAUUAAAGGAAAUUUGCUCGUUUGCUAGCAAAGGUAGAAGCAACUUUGAGUUGGAAAUUUGCUCUUUCUCUAGCCUAAAUUACAAUUGGUAUUAUUGUAAUACGACAAUUAAAAAUUACUUUUACACACACACAAAUAUUAAAAGUCGACUUAUAUUUAUAUAUGAAAUUAGAUAGAUCAAAUAAAUUAUGAUAGUCUCAAUUUCUACUUUCAUAAAUAUUAAAACAAAAGUCUUUAUUUUGCCUACUAACCACAGGAAAAAAAAAAAACCUAACUUCCCUGAAUUUUAAAUUAGAAAAAGAAAUGUUGAGUCUGUUAGCAGGACUCCAAGCAUCCGCCUAAUACCAGGAGCCGAGUGGAAAAUUACUUUUAAAAUAUUUUCCCCAAAAAAAAAUAUUACUUGAAGAAGCCUAUCCGAGUAGACGGCUUCAACUUGACAUCUUACAAUAGGAGGUUGCUAUGUUACAGAUUUUGUAACAUACGCACCCAAUGCAUGCACCACACCUGUCCUGCAUAUGGAGAAAAAACAUACAACUAUUUUUAUUUGGUUGCUAGCUACCCAAUCAGAAGCUGGCUAAGUUGGAUCUGUAUGUUACAGAAUCUGUAACUUAGCCAGCUCCCUUACAAUAACUCGUAACAAAUAUCUGAUCGAAAAAUGUGCACUUUAGAGAAACACGGCGACGUUUUUGUCCUAACCUUAACCGGUUCCUCCGACGUUGACGAACACCGGUUCGGUCCAUCCGCAAUCGACUCGAUCCUCUCGGCUAUUGCCAAAGCCGAAGCCGAAGCAACUCCCGGCUCCGCUCUUAUUACCACUUCUCAUGGCAAAUUCUUCUCCAACGGCCUCGACCUCGCCUGGGCCCAAGCCGCCGGCUCACGAGCCGGCGCCCGGGAACGCCUCCUCUACAUGGUCGAAUCCUUCAGGCCGGUGGUAGCCGCCAUGAUGGAUCUACCUAUGCCUACCGUGGCCGCCGUCAACGGCCACGCAGCCGCCGCAGGGUUCACACUGGCUUUGAGCCAUGAUUACGUCAUCAUGAGGCGUGAUAAGGGCGUGCUAUACAUGAGCGAGGUGGAUAUCGGGGCCAGUCUGCCGGAUUAUUUUACUGCUCUGUUUCGGGCAAAGGUCGGAUCGGCUACGGCUCGGCGCGAUGUGUUGCUGAGGGCUAAGAAGAUCAAGGGAGAGGAGGCGCUGAGGAUGGGACUCGUGGAGGCAGCAUACGAUAGCGAGGAACAAGUGGCCGAGGCUAGCAUGCGCCUGGCGAAGCAAUUGGCCGGCAGGAAGUGGGCUGGUGAGGUGUAUGCGGAAAUAAGGAAGAGUCUGUACCCGGACUUAUGUGGCGUGCUGGGAUUGGACAUCAGGGCCGUUGUUUCCAAUUCUAAGCUUUGAAUUUGAUUGGACGAGAAAAUAACUAUAAACCAGUUGUGUUUUGUGUUAACUGUUAUCGAAGUUUAGUGAUGAAUAAUAUUCAUACCCGAGAACUUGGGACACGAAAGAAUUUGAGAAUUCAGAGAUACUUGUAUAGUAAUGUUAGAUUUAAAGAGAAAGAAGUAUUAUUUUUCUUUUUGAAGAAAAUAAACUAACAUUUCACUCGCCACAAGCCAAAAUUAGCAUAUCGUCACGUCUAGUACAAAAAUAGCUCCACAGACAUCUAUUACAAGUACACAAUUGUUGAACCAAUCUAUUUUUCAUAUUAAAGAACAAGAGAAAAUUAGUGCAUCAAAAAUACUUUAAUGAAGUUUUUCUUCCCACGAAGAAGAUGCACUCAAUAAGAGAGCCAUUCACCAAAUAUUCGUAGUGCCUAUAUUUAAAUUUGGGAACAGAUUUUCUGCCCCUAGAUCCACUUAUAAUAGCAUAAAAGAGAUAGAAGUAUCGUAAGAUACAUGGGAAAUGGUGCCUACAGUCUCACAAGCCGAUUCAAAAUAUUUUCCGUUAAAUUUUAGUUUGAAGCAUUUCCGAUACAUCAAUUUGAAUUAUGACCAUAAUAGAGCCGAUAGAAAUGAUGAAUAAGAUUCAGCCAGUAAGAACAUUCUUGCAGGAGUGUGUACCCAUAGGCUAUAGCUUAGCAAUUUCAAGUUGACAAUCUCAUAUAUAAAGAUCCAAUAAAAAGAACAACUCAUGUCUCUUAUGUUGUGGAAAUGAGACAGCAAAAUAAAUAAGAUAAUUGAAACAUACAAAUAUGCAAACGUGCAGAAUAUCAACGAAGAGUUAGAAAGGUGACAAACUACUGCAUGAUACACGGUAAAAAACAUACAAAAACCUACCAGCUGAAAGAAUGCUACUUGUUACAGCUUCUGCAAGACCCAUCUUCUCUUCCUUCUUUGGCUUAGUUGUCAAAACUAUGGUAGCUCUCCCACAUUGGUAAUCCAACAUUAAUCCCAGGAUAGAAGUUAUCCGAUAUGUCAGAUCUUCUGGGGAAAUCUGUAUGCCAUGUAUCUUCUAGCAUAUCCUCAUCAUAGUCGUUAAACCUGAUUAAAUAAACCAUUACAACAGCAUCAAAGUUAAAUAACUUGGCUACAGACAUUUCACCAUGCAAAUAAAUAAGCAACUGAUGUAAAUAACCAAGAACGAGGUGGUGGAGGAUACGCAUCUGGAACCAAAUGCUUUGGGUAGAGCAAACCCAUCGGAGGAACCUAUUAUUAGGAUAAGAGUUCAGCUAAGCUUAAAUUAAUUCUAGAAGAGGAAAAAAAAGAAAAAAAAAAAGCCAAAUAGAUCUUCCUUUCAAGCGAAAUACGUUAAGAGCGGUUAGCCUUGUCUUAUGAGAUCCGGGUGGCAUGCCAUCUUCGUAUGAAUGAACUACCGCAACAGCAUCGAUCUCCCCUUGCUGCAUACUGGAAAUACCAAAUGACAGAACAGAAAAAUAUAAAAACAAUAAAAUUUCUUUCCAUUAAGAAAAGAUAAAAGCCUAGUACAGGAGAAAGGUUAAAAAUAGUUUAUUAGCUACAACAAGCAAUGGAAACUCACUCUAAUCUCACAAUAGGAUCCUUUUACUCGAUUAAGCAUCAAUAUUUCCAUAGGCUCUCUCAAAAUGUCAGUACGAAUUUGUGGCCAUGUCUGGUAUGCCUCUGAGUCCAGAGAAGGCAUCUUGAUAUAUCCUCGAAAAGAAUGUUAAUAACUUAACAUGAAAUGAAAACUAAUUAGCAAUAAAAAAUUAAAAACCAACCAGACAGUUAAAUGAUUCGUUUACUUCAAUGUGAGAAAAUAUUAGAUGGACCCUUUUCAGCUGAAGUAAACAGGCGAAAAACACAAGUGCCGACAUCAAUUCAGAAGUCAGACAUUCUAGAGUUAGUCAUGCUGGUCUAAACACUAAAGCAGUCAAGAAAACUUUUAAAAGUGUAAAAUAUCAGUCAUAAGGAGAAAACUAAAGUGCAACGGUGGUACCGUGUCACCGUUGCACCCAGCCUUUGGAUCCCAAUGGGUCAAUUCAUCCAAGUGGAUCCAACGGAUAGAUGCAAUGGUGGCACGGUACCACCGUUGCACCAUAGCCGGACCCCAGUCAUAAAGAGUAUAGAAUCCGCACCUCUCCACCAAACGGCAAAGUCUUACUCUGUAUUAGGUUAGGUAGAGCCACUCCAUCCUAGACACCAAAAUAAUCACGUAGUUUAUUAGAAUAAGAGAGAAACUCUUUACUUCAUAUAAUGUAGGCAGCAUGUAACACCCCAAAUCUAACACGUGCGGAGCACGUGAAAAAGGAGGUUACUUACAAAUCGUAAUCCUUACUCAUAAAUUUCAAACUGAAAUAUCUCAAAUUCUUAUUCAAAUAAAUCCACAAAUUCAUACGUCUAAUGCUAAAUAAUCUCUCCCAAAACAUAAAUAUAACAUAAGUCUCAAACUCUAAAUUUCAAGUUCAUAACAGAAAUAAAAUAAAAAGAACAUGAGACUAUUCCUCCUUUUAUUCAAAUAGCAAACGGAAACAAAAUCUCUAACUUCAAAGCUAAGUACACCUUUCAAAAGUGUUGGCUGAAAGGUGAAUUCAAACACCUUUGCCAGCAAACGACAGUGUUUCCAGUAGUGUUCAGAAGCUUUAAGUGAUCACGUGAGAAGCACAGCCAAUCCUUUGUUUCGAAACGGCAACACAUGAGUGCGUUUUGGAUAUACUCAACUUAAGUGGAGUCACGGGUUCUUCACGUGAUAGUUAGCUGAAGCUGAGUUCGUUAAAUAACAGACUCAUAGUACACGUGUCAAGGAGCUGUGCAAUCUGGGUUGUUAGAGCUGUUACAAGACUGGUAUAUAAGCUGCAGCCUUCUGGUUUGGAGAUAGUCGUGCGUGAUAGAGAUUGAGGGAAGUCUGAGAGGAAGUGUCUUACUUGUUCUUGUUCUUAGAAUCUCUGUAACAAAACUUCUUGAAUCAUUCAAUAAAGCUGUCUGAGGAAUUCACUCGUGGAUGUAAGCCAUUAAUGGCUGAACCACGUUAAAGCUUGUGCUCUGUUUUGUGUGAUUGAUUUUCUUGCUGGUUUUGGUUUCUAAGGUUGUAAUUAAUCCUUUUUGUUACGAGUCUUAUUGGGUUUAGUUGAUUCUCUGAAGUUGAUCUAAGCUGAUAUUGCAUCCUGAUUAAUCUUGGCUGAGAAUCUUGGGAGGAUCUGGUUCUUGAUCAAAGCAUAGCUAACGAACCAGAUUCAACAAUUGGUAUCAGAGCUUGGUUCUUAACCAAGAUUCAGGUAUGGCUACUCAGAAGGUAGAUUUGGAGAAGUUUAAUGGCAGAAACGACUUCAACAUGUGGAAGGUUAAAAUCGAGGCUCUCUUGGUUACUCAAGGUCUUGGUGAUGCACUUGAUGCUUCAACCAAGAUCGAAGGGAAGGGAGCAUCAUCUUCAAAAACUCCAGAGCAGAUGGCUGAAAUUGACAAGAAGGCAAAAGGUACCAUAAUCCUUAGCCUUGCUGAUUCUGUAAUUAGAGAAGUUGCCAAGGAGACAUCUGUUGCUGGUUUGAUGGAGAAAUUGGAAAGCCUGUACAUGAAGAAAUCCUUGGCCAACAGGCUGUAUAUCAAGAAAAGGAUGUUCACUUUAAAGAUGACAGAAGGCUCAUCACUGGAUAAGCACAUUGAUGAAUUCAAUCAAGUGUGUGACACACUUGCAACAAUUGAUGAAGCUUUAGAUGAUGAGGGAAAAGCUUUGCUACUGGUUAGCUCUCUUCCAGGGUCUUACAAGAACUUUGUUGAUGCACUCAUGUAUGGGAGACAAACUCUCUCUUUGGAUGAAGUUAAGUCAGCUCUAAACACAAGGGAGCUGCAAGAAAAGAGACAGAAUCUUGACCAAGAAAUUGGGGAAGGAUUAACUGCAAAGGGUCAGCAUUACAAGAACCAGAAAAAGAAGCAAGGGAAGGCCAAAGACAAGAACAAGACUCUUAAGUGCUUCCAGUGCCAUAAGGAAGGUCACUUUAAGAGAGAUUGUCCAGAAAGGAAGAACAAACAGCACAAAGAGCAAAGAAGUGAAAAUGGUGAUGCAGCAGUAGUUGAAGAAGAAGGUUAUGAGUCAGCUGGAGUCCUAAUUGCCUCUGAUGUUGAUCAGGAAGGUAAGUGGGUGCUUGACUCAGGGUGUUCUUUUCAUAUGUACUCUUUUAAACAUCAUUUCUCUGAGUAUCAAGAAUAUGAUGGUGGUAGGGUGAUGAUGGGGAAUAAUGCAAUCUGUAGAGUUAUAGGGAUUGGGGUUAUUAAACUGAAAUUGCAUGAUAACUCAAUUCUUGAACUCAAACAAGUGAGGCAUGUACCUGAUUUAAAAAGGAAUUUGAUCUCACUGGGGAUGUUGGAUCAGAUAGGUUGUGUUGUUAAGGUCCAGCAGGGUAUAAUGAGUGUUGUAAAGGGGUCACUGGUUCUGUUAAAAGGAAUCAGGAAGAAUGGUCUCUAUGUGUUAGAAGGGACAACUGUGACAGGGAUGGUGUCAGUGUCAUCUAGCUCUAGUGUUGACAAAACUAGGCUAUGGCACUUAAGGCUUGGACAUAUGAGUCUGAGAGGCCUUAAAGAGUUGUCAAAACAGGGGCUGUUAGGCAGUGAUACAAUUGGUGAGAUGGUGUUUUGUGAAGAUUGUGUCCUAGGGAAAUCUACAAGAACCAGUUUCAAGUCAUCAGUUCACACUACUAGAAGCAUUCUGGAUUACAUACACUCAGACUUGUGGGGACCUGCACAAGUAACAUCACUGGGAGGAGCAAGAUAUUUUUUGUCUAUAAUUGAUGAUUUUUCAAGAAGAGUCUGGAUUUAUGUGCUUAAGAAUAAAGAACAGGUGUUUGAAAAAUUCAAGAACUGGAAGGUCUUGGUUGAAAAACAGACUGGAAAAACAGUGAAAAAAUUGAGGACUGAUAAUGGAUUGGAGUUUUGCAACCAGGUGUUUGAUGAAUUUUGUGCAAAGGAAGGUAUUGCAAGGCAUAAAACUGUAAGAAUGACACCUCAGCAGAAUGGCUUAGCUGAGAGGAUGAAUAGGACUCUCAUGGAUAAGGUGAGGUGCAUGAUGAUUCAAGCCAAGCUACCUAAGAAUUUGUGGGCUGAGAUUCUCAACACAGCUUGCUACCUGGUGAAUUUGAGCCCCUCCACUGCCAUUGAAUUCAAGACACCUUUUGAGCUUUGGUAUGGUAAACAAGCCAGUUAUAAAGACCUUAAGGUGUUUGGUUGUCUGAGUUAUGCUCACAUAAGCCAAGGAAAACUAGCACCCAAAGCACUGAAAUGUGUGUUCAUUGGGUAUCCAGAGGGAACCAAAGGAUAUAAGCUUUGGUGUACUGAUCUCUCUCCACCCAGGUGCAUAGUAAGCAGAGAUGUCAAGUUCAAUGAAGUAGCAGCAGUGGAUAGUAUUCAAAGAAACAGUGUGAGAGCUGAUCAAGUUCAUGAGGAACAUUUUGAGGUGGAGUCACCUGGCAACCUGAAUCAGAAUGAUGAUAAAGAAUCAGCUGAAAGUGCUGAUGAUAUUGGAAGACAGGAGUCACUUCAAGAAGCUGGAUCAACUCAAUCACAAGUAAUGGAUUAUCAGUUGACAAGAGAUAGACAGAAGAGACAAAGCAAAGCACCUAAGAGGUAUGGCUAUGCUGAUCUGAUUGCUUUUGCAUUACAUUCUGCUCAUGAGAUAAAUGCUGAAGAACCACAGAAUUUCAAAGAAGCCAUUAACUGUCAGUAUGCAAAAGAAUGGAAGAAAUCUAUGGAUGAAGAAAUGACCUCACUGUACAAGAAUUGUACCUGGGAACUGGUUAAAAGACCUAAAAAUAGGAGGAUUGUUGGUUGCAAGUGGAUAUACAGAAUCAAAGAGGGUAUGACUGCAGCUGAACCAAGGAGAUUUAAGGCUAGGUUAGUUGCAAAGGGGUACACUCAGAUGGAGGGUAUUGAUUUUAAGGAAGUUUUCUCCCCUGUAGUAAGGCAUGCUUCCAUAAGAGUACUGAUGGCUAUAACAGCAACACAGAAUCUGGAGCUGGAACAGCUUGAUGUUAAGACUGCUUUUUUGCAUGGAAAUCUUCAAGAAGAAAUUUUCAUGAGUCAACCAGAAGGAUAUGAAGCUCCUGACGGAAGAGACUAUGUAUGCUUGCUAAAGAAAUCCCUCUAUGGCCUGAAGCAAUCUCCCAGGCAAUGGUACCUCAAAUUCGAUGAGUUUAUAACCACUCAUGGAUUUCAGAGGUGCAAUUAUGAUUGCUGUGUCUACCUUAAACAGCUAAGUCAUGAAAAACAUAUCUAUCUACUGCUAUAUGUAGAUGAUAUGUUGAUUGCUUGUGAAGAAAGGUCUGAAAUAGAUGCUUUGAAGACAUUGCUUGGCACUGCAUUUGACAUGAAGGAUUUAGGAAGUGCUAAAAGGAUAUUAGGAGUUGAUAUAAGAAGGAACAGAAGUGAAGGACUGGUAUUUUUAUCUCAAGAGAAAUACUUGAAGAAAAUACUGGAAACCUUUGAUAUGGAGGAUUCUAAACCUGUACAAGGCCCCUUAGCAGCACACUUCAAACUUUGCAACCUAUAUUGUCCAAAGUCUGAAGAAGAAAGACUUGAGAUGGCCAAUAUUCCAUAUGCAAAGGCAGUAGGAUGCCUUAUGUAUGCCAUGGUGCUGACUAGGCCUGACAUCUCACAUGCUGUGAGUGUUGUCAGCAGAUACAUGGCAUCUCCAGGCAAAGAACACUGGAAAGGGGUGAAAUGGAUACUAAGGUAUUUAAAGGGUACUUUGAAUGUUGGUCUGGUAUAUGGAAAGAACUCUGGAACAGAAGAAGGGUUGUGGGGCUAUGUAGAUUCCGACUAUGCAGGAGAUCUGGACAGAAGAAGAUCACUCACAGGAUACUUGUUUAUGUUAAAUGGCUGCCUGAUUAAUUGGAAGGCAAACUUGCAGCAUGUAGUGGCACUUUCCACAACAGAAGCAGAAUUUACAGCUGCCACUGAAGCUGCAAAGGAGGCCAUUUGGCUCAAGGGCUUAAUCACUGAGCUCGGUUUAAAACAAGAAUCUGUACCAAUUUUCUGUGACAGCUCCAGUGCACUGCAUUUGUGUAAGAAUCCAGCUCACCAUGAGAAGACCAAACAUAUUGAUAUUAAACUUCACUUCAUAAGAAAUGAAGUCUCCAGGGGAGCUAUCAAGAUGGUUAAAAUACAUACUGAUGACAACCCCUCUGACAUGCUCACUAAGGUGGUUCCUGCAACUAAGUUCAACAAAUGUUUGGACUUAGUUGGUAUCUGCAAAACCUGAUAUGAAUCAGUUGGUGAAUGUAUCAGUUACAGGGUGUUUGAUUCAAGGUGGAGUAUUGUUGGCUGAAAGGUGAAUUCAAACACCUUUGCCAGCAAACGACAGCGUUUCCAGUAGUGUUCAGAAGCUUUAAGUGAUCACGUGAGAAGCACAGCCAAUCCUUUGUUUCGAAACGGCAACACAUGAGUGCGUUUUGGAUAUACUCAACUUAAGUGGAGUCACGGGUUCUUCACGUGAUAGUUAGCUGAAGCUGAGUUCGUUAAAUAACAGACUCAUAGUACACGUGUCAAGGAGCUGUGCAAUCUGGGUUGUUAGAGCUGUUACAAGACUGGUAUAUAAGCUGCAGCCUUCUGGUUUGGAGAUAGUCGUGCGUGAUAGAGAUUGAGGGAAGUCUGAGAGGAAGUGUCUUACUUGUUCUUGUUCUUAGAAUCUCUGUAACAAAACUUCUUGAAUCAUUCAAUAAAGCUGUCUGAGGAAUUCACUCGUGGAUGUAAGCCAUUAAUGGCUGAACCACGUUAAAGCUUGUGCUCUGUUUUGUGUGAUUGAUUUUCUUGCUGGUUUUGGUUUCUAAGGUUGUAAUUAAUCCUUUUUGUUACGAGUCUUAUUGGGUUUAGUUGAUUCUCUGAAGUUGAUCUAAGCUGAUAUUGCAUCCUGAUUAAUCUUGGCUGAGAAUCUUGGGAGGAUCUGGUUCUUGAUCAAAGCAUAGCUAACGAACCAGAUUCAACAAAAAGGAACUUAAUCUGCAAAAAAGUAACGACGAAGAGUGAGCCGUUAACUCGGUAAGUAAAACCAUUCCUAACACACUAGGCCUAUCGAUACCAAAAAUAUUGCAAGCCUUCUUUUAUUUAAAACAUAUAUCAUAAUCCAUAAAUUUCAUAAAAUGAUAUAUCACGAUAAAACAACAUAAAUUCAUUGUAUCUCAGAAUAUCAAAAGCAUAGUUACUUACGAAAGCAAUCAUAUAUCACAUUCACAGAAAACAAAAGGUUAGUUCAUGUCACAUAGUGUCACCUAUAGUCCUGGUGACCCGGCCAGAAACAGAAUCAGAAUCAGAAUCAGAAUAUCGUGUGCACACUCAGAACAGAAACCCAAUACUGGUCCAGAACAGACAUAUAUCAUAUUAUACGAUCAAAAUCAGAAUUAGAAUAACUACGGACAAUGAGCCAAAACAUAAUUACUUAUACGUGGCACUUUGCACUAUAUGUGCACUUUGCGACGCUUUGACCUUCAAGGGGUGGCCCCCAUAUAGUCCCAAGAGGUGGCCCCCGUACAAUCAUAAAAUAAUUGAAAUCAUACAUAGGCACAAAAUAUUUGUAUCAGUUUCAUGAAAGUCCAUAACAACAAUUUAGGCUUGCAAAUUAUUUUAUAAAUAAAAUCAUAAAAGUUACUCAUGUCAUAAAAUACUUUACAUAUUUAAAAGCAUUUGUAAAAUACUUUGUUAAAAAGAAUUUAGGUUUGAAAACAUUUACAUAAAACUAAUUUUGUUAUCAAAAUCAAUUAAUCCUUUAAGUAGUAUAAAAACAUGCAUACUUAUAAUAAUAUCAAAAUAAUCAUAUAUAUAUCCAGUACAUUAAGAAUGAAGUUACUUACCUCGACAAAAUAAUUUGGAUUAACACACCUAUAUGCCUCUAAGAGCCUCAAUCACCUCCAACACCUUAAACAAAUACAAGGCAUGACAAUUAAUAACUUAUUAUAAGAACCUGGUUUUUCUAAUUCAUAUCCGUACAGGUCUGAUGCUCAUAACUUUAACUCUUAAUCUAAAACUGAGAAUCACAUAAUAUUCUACAAGGCUAUUUUGGACAUCCAUGGGUACCUCAUGUAAAAUUUUCAAUAGGAUCCGAUACCAAAAACAUUUUCAAAACUAUUUAUUAUUUGACAAAUUCGAAACUGUUUUCACAGUACCUUAACCGAACAGAAUUGGUUCUGAGAUUUUUAUAAAAUAAAAUUUAUUCAAGAAGCCCUACAUGUCUAGUUUCCAGAAAUAUAAAUUUCAUGAGAUAAAUCGUUCAGAAGAAAUAGGUUUAAAUUCGAGAUACUCAUGCUGUCCAGAAUUAUCCUAUGUGCUUAAUACGUCAAGAGUUGAUUAACUAAACUCAUAAUAAAUCAAAAACCCUAAACAAAUCCUAAAUACAUUCUAAAUCAUGCAUUAUGAUCUAUAACUAUCUAAAAUCAUGCCAGUAUAAACCCUAGAUAGAGUGAUUGGAAAUCUUGUGGGGAAUAAAGGGAGUAAACUUACCAAUUGCUUUGAUUCUCUUCUAAACAAAGGCUUGAAUCUUAGGGUUUGGGUAAGAGCGUAGUGAGCAGUAGAGAAAAAAAGAAAUGUCGUGGAUUUAGAGUUAUGGAAGGAGAAAAAUAUGAAUUUAUAGGGAGUCUUAAGUAACCCUAUUGAAUUUGGAAAAAUAAUCAUUUUCCAAAAUUAUCUCCUAAAUAACCCUUAUUUAUAAUUUAAUAUCCAUUUCUAAUAAGGGUUAUAGGCCACGCAUGAUUCCUAAUGAAAGCCCAAUUUUCAUAAUUUAAUGUUAUGGAAAUUUGUGGCGUUACACAGCAUCCAGCGUUGCUGCACAGUGAAAUAAGAAACAUUCAAGAAAAUAAAAGGGCAAAGGAGGGGCAUGAAAAAGUAGUACAAAAGAAAAAGAGAGACGCUUUUUAGCUUCUUGCUGCAUGCUAAACUUGAAAAGGGCGAAAAAGGCCAAAAAGGCGUUAUUGGUAAUGAACAGGGGCGGCUCAAUCAAUUUUGCAAAAAUUAGGUCUUUUAAAAAAAUUUAUUAUUAAAAAUUCAUUUAUUUAGAAUCAAUUUUUCUAAUUUUCUAAGAUGCAAAAUUAUUAAUUAAAUUUUUAUAUUCUAAGUUCCUAAUAUAUUUUUCUUAAUACAUACCAUAGUUAAUCCAUUUAAUCUUUCUUGCAACAUGAUUAAUCUUAAAUAAUUUUUUAUAAAUUUUAAUUUUGAAAAACUUCUUUCUACAGAAGCAACUGUUAUUAGUAUUGUUAAUAAUAUUUUAUAAGCAAUAUAUGCAUUUGGAAACGAAUCAAAUUUUUUUAAAUAAUUAACUACAUCAAGUGGGGUAUUUUUUUUCACUUUGAAAAGCUUCUUUUAAAAUUCUUAACUCUACAAACAAAUCUAAACCAUCUAUAUCAGAAAGUGAAUCAUGUUUUAAAGUAUUUUCAAGAUUAAUGCAAUAAGUUUUUAGAACAUCGUCACUUAACAAAAAUCCAAUCAUAUCCAAACCAAAAAAAAUAAAAAUAAAGAAAAAAUAAUUAAAAAAUUAAUUACUUGUGCUUGAUGGAGGAGAGAUCGUGAUUGAUGGAGGAAAAUUAUCAGAGCCUUCAGCUUUCAAAAUUGACAAGGAAUUAGGAAUUAUCGUGACUUUUUUUUUAAUUUAUAAAACUAUUAAUAAAUAAUAAUAAGUUACCAAAUAUUUGGUUUUUAUAGAGUUUCAAAUGAAAUAAUGUUAAUUAGAGAUUUUAUAGGAAUAAAUAAGAUAAAAAAGGUUAAUUCUAACAUUGAAAAGAGAUUUUAUAUAGAUUUGAUAAUUUAUUUACGGAAAAGAUUAUUAUAAGACAAUAAUAAUAUAUAUAUAAAUUAAUAACUUAACAACUAUAAUUUUGAAAAAAAAAAUUUGAAACUUUUAUAUGUUGUGGAGUCCUAGGCAACCGCCUAAGUUGCCUAAGGGAAGAGCCGCUUAGGUAAUAAAGGGCAACAUCAAUAAGCAAAAAUCAUGAAUAUAUAAUAAUUAUUGAGUUAAAACUAGAUUUAUUUUCAGAUAGAUAAUAAUUUUAUUGAGACAAUACAAGGCAAACAACCACCCUCAACAGAGUGCCUAACUCUGGACCACUUUAAUGGCAAAUUGUAAUAAGACAGUAGAAUACGCUGCAGCUUUGUGAAUUGGUUGAUGACAAGAUAAGUCAAGUUAUUAUUCUAUUCACAUAUAAGUGCCAUGCAAAAGCAAAUCAUGAAGCCAGAAGAUCGAACAUCAGUCAGCAAAUUUUCAGCAUGUUCUGCCCAAGUUAUUCAGACGGCAAAUUUGGGAAUAUGAAAGAAUAGAUUAAAAUCAGCAUCGGUAUCACUAUGAAGAAACUUCUCACCUGGUGUACGACUGCUAGGUAAAGCGCAAAUCUCGCAACAAAAUAGAUAUCAGCUCUUUUAUCUCUGCCUGGAUAAUUAAAAACAAAAAUAUAGAAAUAUUAAGCUGAUCUAAUUAAUAACAAUCCACUCAAAUGUUUUUUUAUUGACUUCAUAAAAAUUAAUAAAAGAAGCAAAGAUGUAUAAAAGAAACAGAAGGUGCCAGCAUAUGACAUUAUGCUUCACAAAUAAUUUAAUGCUGUGUGGUUGGCAUGUAAAUCUAUUAAAGAAUCCAUAUAUCAAUCUGAUAGUGCCGCAUAUAAUUUAUCAAUGAUAUCAAGCUCUAUUUGCUUUCUAUACACUGAAUUAGCCUAUAAAUAGGUGCAUCUUCUUGCUAUCUCUCACCGACCUUUUGGUCCCCGGUUUGACUCGAAAAUUGGAAGGUCACAAACCGCCCUUUAUAAUUGCAAACGUGAAUAAGGUGCUAAAGCAGGACUCAACCUCACACAACUCACAUGCAACUUUUAAUUUACAUGCAUGCCACCAAGGAGACAAAUUAGAGACUAAAUCACUAUCACAUAGGCAACUGCUAACUUACUUAUACCAACCCAAAAGUAGUUAUCCAAUACCAAAAAGUAGUAACAUUUGCAAUAAGUGGGAGAUUAUGGACAACUAUUUUUGAGUUUUUUGUGAGCAUAUGAUGUAACUUUUAACAAGAAACUAUCACAUAAUAGUCAUAUUGACUCUUGAUAUAUACCAUACCACAUACCACAUGCUGUUAUAUGCAAUUCCUUUAAGAAAGAAGAAAUAUUGUUCUUUUGAAUUGAAAUCUUAUUGAUCUUGAUAUUUCCCCCAUAGUUUUUUUAUUCAACAAUUUGUAGGAAUUUUGUUGCAAUGAAAGCUUGACCAACAUGGCAUGCUCUCGCUCGCUCAUUCUUUCUUCUUCUUUGUGAUCUAUGCAACGAUAACUUUCAUCUUAUUUUCUCCUUGUUGUGUUAAAAUUACAUUAGCAGCCAUUGAAGAUCAAUUUCACAUGUACCACCAGCUCAUUAUUUCAAUACUUGCAAAGAGCGCAAAGGAGGAAUUUGAAGCUGGAGGAUAUAAAGAGGUACAUUUUUUUUAAUUGAUGUAUAAAGAUGGCCAACAUGUCGUGUCGUGUCUAAAUUUUUUUUAUAAGGGCCCGACACAAGUCCAAAAAAGGUCUAUCAACUUUUUUUUCCCUCAAGCCCACAUGCCCAACGUGCCAAAAAAAACCUACAUGUCUGACGUAUUUUAUUUAAACCCACGUGUCUGACGUGCUUUUUUAAGCCCAUUUGCCUAAUAACAACAACAACAAUAAUAAUAAUUUUUAUUAAGAGAGCAAUUAACGUUUUAUUAUUAGUUUAUUAUAAUUUUACAACUAUAUAUUUAAUUUCACAAUAACCAAUCAUAACACAACAAUGCAUAAAUUUAAUUUCAUAGAUCAUAGUAAUUAUUAAUGAAAAUUAAAAUAUCAUAAAAAAUAUUUUGUUCAUAAUUUUAUUUUUGUGUACAAAUAUGAAAAAUAUUUCAUUCACAAAUUAAACAUGUCUCCAUUAACUAAGUUAUGAUUUCAUAAAUGAAAUAUUAAUGUCGUAAUUUUUUUAUUUAUCAUUUAUAAAAUCAUGAUAUUUAUAAUUUUAUUUAUUAAAAUCAUGAUAUUUAUUUAUUUAUUUAAUAAAUUAUAAACAUAAACCAAUUAGAAUAUUUAUUUAAACUAAGAAUUAAAUUAAUUUUUAAAAGCCUAUACUAAAAAAUAUAUUAAAAAAUAUAAUUUCAAGAUAUUUGUAAAAUCAUAACAUUUUAUAUUUACUUUUCAUUAAAAUUUUUAUUUUGAUAUACUUUGGCCUACGUGUUAUUGCUGGCCCAUAGGCCAUGUGCUAGCACACUAAUGAAACAUGCUUAUUACGUGUCUUUUCGCGUACCGUACUUUGUCUCAUCUUUAAUCGUGUCGUGCUUUUAAGGCCCGCGUGCCUAAAAUUCUAGACCUGGCCCAACCCACGUGUCGUAUCUAUCGCGUGUCGCUCAGCCCAUUGGCCAUCUUUAUUGAUGUAGUUCAAUUAACUUGUACCAGGGCCUUAUUAUUUUUCUUCCUCUUCUGAGGUAGAACUGGGUCUACUCCUAAUGGGUCUAAAUUGACCAAGACCUCUUAUAACAACAUGAAAGAUAUUUAUCGACUAUAAAAUUAAAGGUAUGAAUAAGAACUAAAUAUUAUAUUUCAAUUUUUUUUAUAAAAUGUAUUUAUUUCCUACACUAUAAAAACUAAUUCUUUUUUUUCUUAUUUAUUUAUUUAUUUGACAUUUAUGUCAAAUAAUUAUAUUUAAGAUGUUUUUUAUUUAUAAAAACAAAUAAGAUAUCACUUAUAUUCAGUCUUUUAAAAAUGAAAAAUAAGAAUGUCAUUCAAAUAUUCGUAUUCAGACUCAUUCAAAUUUCGAAAAAAUUUAGAGCUAUUAAGAUUUUAGACAAAAAAACAAAUGCUACCUAAGUGUGGUAAUUUUUUAUACUUUGAUUAUGCAAUAUUUCCUUGUGUAUAGAGAGGAGAGUUGCAAACGUUGUUGCAAUUUUUGUAUUAGACAGUAUUAAGGCCUUCUUUGAUAUUGAGAUAAUAUAAAUUUUAAGUUAUAAUUGUUGUUUAAAAAAAAACAUAGUUAUAAAAUAAAAGUUGACAAUCUAUAGUAAACAUAACUUUUAAAUAACAAUUUUAAUAAAAAUAAUAAAGAUAUCAUAAAUGUUUUGUUCUGCAUGUGUAUAAUCAAAUCAACUUAUCUUUCGAAACUUAGUUUCUAAAAUAUAGCAAUAAUUGUUUAUUAAACAUAAUACUUUAAAUAUUGUAGCUUUUAAACUAUAAUUGUCCAAUCACAUUAGCAAAUAGGACCUUAAUUAGUAAAAUAUUAACAUUUUAAUCUUAUAAUUGGAGAAUAUGAUCCAAGUUUAGAGAAAAACUUCUAUCUAUUGAGGUGGUAAUCUUCUAACCACUGAAACUGGAUUGUGUUUGCCAAAUUCAAAUGUUGUUGUUAUAGUACAUAAAGAGUUCACAUUGAGCAUUAUGGAUCAAGUGUGGGCAAAGCAAGAAUCUAGUGAAGGUAAAAUGUGUCAAUCUUCACUUACAAAUACUAUUUCGAUCCACUAAUAAUAAAACAUAAUUUUUUACGUACCACAAUGGAAUGAAACUCAAGUUUGAGCCAAAAUCUUAAUAAUAUCAAAAUAUUUCUCUAUUUUCUUUUGAAGGAAAACAAUGGUUCCUUAGUGAAUGAGCAAAAGAAUGGGUACCUAGUGAAUGACUUUUGCAUGGUAGAAGACAACGUUACUAAGCUUGGAACUUCCCAAGCAUUGUAUCAAGAAAUUGAGAAUAACUUAUUACAAGAGAAUUGAUUUAUCAAAAUUUUGAUUGAUCCGACUUGAUUAAUGGUAAUUGGUGAAGAUUUUUUCCCGAUCGUGUGCUUGAUCUUUAUUGUUCUUGAUUGGGAAGAAACAUAAGUUAUUUUUUGAUCUACUUUGUCACAACGCAAGCAAUGAGUUCUGUUGGAUUUGUAUAUUGCUAAGACAUCACUAGAGAUCCCUUGAUUAUAAGAGAAGCACUAUAAUCAUGGGUUUAGACUCGUGUUUCGGAAGAUUUGAACUCUAAUAAGAAAAAAUUAAAACAAAACCCAAGGGGAAUUGUGGUUGUGCACAAUGAACAUAAAUAAUAAAAAAAAAUCUCAUAAAUAAAAGUAUGCGAGUCACGUGACAAAUAAAUAAACAGGAUAUUAUAUUUAGUUGAAAAAUCCUAAAAAUAAAAAUAUUGAACUACUUAAAAGGGAGGACAUAGAUUCUCAAGAGAGAACUAACAUAUUCUCUCUUAUGAAUGGAGGGAGAAAAACAUUUUCCGCGUUUUUCUCCGCACUCAAGCUCCUUGAAUUUUUUUUUUUAUUUUGUAGGAAAUGUCGAGUCUGUCUGAAGUAGUAGCCUAAUACUUAGCAGCCGAGUGGAAAAUUACUUUAAAAAGAAAAAAGAAAAAUACUUGUUUAUUCCCUAUAUUUUGAGUUAAGUAUUUAUUUAGAGCAUCACUAAAAAAUUCUUCAAAUAAGAUUUUAUUACUUAUUUGGAGACCCACAUCAACAUUUAAGACUCCAAAAAACACUCUAAUUAAAAUUCUUUAAAUAAAAAAUUAUUCUCUCUCUUUAAAUUUAGAGAGUUAUUUUCUCACUCUUCAAUUUAUAUUUUAUUACUUUUUACUAGAGAAAGAGCGAGAAAUGCUUUAAUUGCUAUUGACUUUUUCUUUAAAAAAUAAUUAUUUAAUUAAAAUAUUAUUAACUUAUUUAUAUUUGAAGAGUCUUUUGGAGAAUAAUAUAUUUUUUCACUCUUCUAUUUGCCACAUAGGUAAGCAAAUAAAUAUUUGAAGAGUAAAAUUUAUAAAAAAUUUUAGAGAUGCUCUUAGUCUUUAUAUUUAAAAGUAUAACUCAAAACACUCUUAUUGUUAAAUUUAUUACACUUCUACCUUUAUGUCUUCUUUCCUUUAUAAUAAUACUCUUACAAUAAAAUUCUUAGGUAUAUUAAUAAAAUAAUGAUAAUUUAUCAAAUUAAUCUUAAAAGUAACAUAAAAAUUUACAAAAACCUUUAUAUUAUUAUUAGUAAAAUUAUUUUUAUAAGUUCAGCGAGAAUACGUGGCGUUGUUAUACCAGAACUAUAACAGUUAAAACUGUACUUUGGACCAGUAGUUCGCAAGUUCGAGUUUACAGCCGAUAUACCUCUGAGAUAAGAAAACUUUGAAACAUUUUCAUCUCGGGUUAAAUAACCCAAAACAGACUUUCCUUUAGUCUAAAACAGGGUACCAAACCAGAUAAGAAAUUACCAAAAGUUUUCUGAUGCACAUGAUCCUUGCAAGAGGCAAGUGCAGAGCAUAUUUCCUUAAGUUUUAAAAUGAACAGAUGUAAGUUUUCUUCUUAUUUUUAAAACUUUAGAACUUCAUUGACUGAGAGAAAAAGAGAAAUUAGAAACUCAUGAUUAUAGAAGGUUAGAGAUUUUAUUAUUUUCCGCUAUGGUUCUAACAAAGAGAAUCUGAGCUUAUAUAUGAGGAAAACCAAAGAAAAGGAUAAGACAUGGCCCUUAUCACUUUUCUAAAAGAAAAGACAUAAUUACAAGCGACAAGCUUUUGAAAAAGUAAAAGCAAUAAAAACAAAUUAAAGCAUGACUCAUGCUUUAAUUAUUACAAACUUUAAAAAAUAAAAGCAAAAGCAAAAGUAAUAAAGACAAAUUAAAGCAUGACUCAUGCUUUAAUUUUACAAACUUUGAAAAAAGUAAAUGAUGCCAAAUUGCAUGAAUCACGGAGAUGAGAGAUUCAUGUAGUCUUCAUCAGAUGAGCUGUCGGUCUCAUCUUUAUCUUUUGAAAAGAAGACUUUGAGUGAUGGACAUGGAGUUUCUGGUGGAUGUUGAUGAUCUGGGCAACAGGGUGGCCAAGGGCAAAAUAUUUUUCGCCAAGAAGAGGAUGGGUGUUCCUUGGAGCCGGUUGGUGUGCUAGAACUGGCUUUAUUUGUUGGAUCGUCUGAGGCAUGUGUUGGUGGAGUUUGUUGGAGGUUUUGAAGAUGUUGGCUUAAUGGCAAGGCAAGAAUGCUUCCCAUGGGUCUUGUGCAUCUUGGUAUAGAAAAUCAAUGAAGUCUGAUUUUUCUUCCUUGAUGAUAAUACCCGUGGAUUUAGGUUUUGAAAUUGUUGAAGGAGUGGGGAUCAUGAUGAUAUCAUACUGUGGACCGAGGGAGGUGUGAGAAAUGUCUCUAUGUGGAGCAGGUUGGUGGUUCAGUUCACAAAGGAAAUUAUAGAGUUCCUUUUGAACUUUAUCAUCUUGCUCAAGGAUAGAUGGGUGAGGUGUGGUUAACCAUUCAAAAACUUGAUCUUGAGUCCAGAAGAAGUGUGUAUCUGGGUGUUGGAAGUAUGGUCUAUGAAUAAUGAACACAGAUGUGAACAUUUUUGUUUCUGAUGCUGGCAUACGUUCCAAGUUAUGAAAUUGUGACAAUUGUUGAAGUUUCAUUAUCCACCAUGGAAUUGGAAAAAACCAUUCAAGAAGCGUCCAGAUGAGUGAGGUUGAUUUGUCUGCAUUGAACAAAUGGUCUAAGGUGACUGUUACUGGAACAAUCAGUUUGGUGGCAUAGAGGACAGUUAGACACCAGAUGUACCAUAAUUCGUCUUGUGAGAUGUCUCUGGAAGGAUCCAAGGUUAAACCUGUAAGAAACAAGUUUUCUGGAUGGAAAUUGGAAAACGGAAAUGAGUCUGAUAAGAGAUAGGCUUUCAUAAAAAACUGUAUUAUGAAGAUGACAGGAAAAUAGUAUUAUGAGGAUAUGAAAAACAAGGAUUUAUCUGGUUUAGCAAGUCUUGAGAGCAUAUCAAGAAUAAGGUUGUGGUCUCCUUUUAUAUGCUUAACAGAGAAAUCAUAUUUUGAAAACCAGUCUUUUAGCCUAAGCAACAUCUUUUCUGGAACAUGUAUUUCUGGCAUCAUUACCUGAAGAAUUGCAACCAGACAUACAGAGGCAGCUCAGGAGUCGCAAUCUCACCAUUGACAACAUUUCCUUGGGAAAGAUCUUUCAAAUCGCCAAAGAAUGUUUGGAAAAAUUAUGUGAAUAGACACAGUUUUUCAAAGAACUGUUAAAAGACAAAGAGCCUUUCCGAAGUGCUUGCAAAAAGCCGUACUUACAGAUCAAAUGCAAGAAAAAGAAAGAUUGUGAUUGCAGCACCAAAAAGAAGAAACAUUUUCGAAAAUUCAAAAAUCCAGAUUCGUUUCCUAGAUCAAAAUCCAGGCGAAAAUCAUACAGAUUUUUCAGGAAAAUAUCUAGUUCUUUCCAAGAACAGAAAAGAAGAAAGUCAAGCUAAUGCUUGAUUUGCAAAAAAAAAGGCCAUUAUGCUAAAGAUUGCCCUAAUAAAAAAGAUAAAGCAAUCAGACUACUUGAGCAUUUACAGGCCACCACUGAUUAUUCUCUUCACAAAGAUGAAAUUGAGUUCUACUUCUCAGAACAAGAGGAGCCUACUGAUGAAACAGUGCUCGCACUGCAAAACUCAUCCGAUGAUUCUGAAAAUGAUGAGUUUUAAACUGUUUUUCACCAACAACUUUUGUCUCUAGACACUACCAUACCUAUCCCUUCCAUAAAACUCCAAAUCUUACCUUCCAAAUUCCAAAGACCAAUUCCCGCCAUUGGACUUCUUGAUACCGGAGCCUAAAGAAGUAUGUUAAACCCAGACAUACUUCCAUAUCAUUCUUGGCAACAUUAUGAAGAAAAUUUCAAAGCAGUCAAUGGAAAAUUCUUCACCACCAAGUUGAUUACCAAAAAACCCAUUGGUAUUCAAAUCUUUCCAAAUUGUGUUAUCUGGACAAAAGUCAUCGGUUCCCAUCUGCCUAAUAAGGACAUCUUGUUAGGAUUUGAUAUCAUUUACCAGAUAAAACACCUCCAAAUCAUUCAUACUGGAAUUCUAGUCAAGUCCAUGUUUAAAUCAUUCACCAAUGUUCUCAAGCUUUAUGGUUUGUCUGAAACCUCCCAGCCUUUCCAAGACAUUUCCACAAAAUUUUUGAAAUAUUGUCCUGAGUCUCAUGCUGACUUUCACCAUCUAAAUCCUCUGUGGAAAAAUCUAAAUUUCUUUGUUCAAUUGCCUUUCAAGUUGAAUGAAGAUGUCAAUUCAACCAAAGCCACCUAUCCAGGAAUGAGUCCUUCCGACUUAGUCCUAGCUCAAAAGGAAUGUUCUCAGUUACUGGCUCAAGGUCUUAUUGAACCCAUUAGUUCUCAAUGGGCUUGUCAAGCUUUUUAUGUUGAAAAACAUUAUGAGAUUGUUAGAGGAAAAAAACGAUUAGUCAUUGACUAUCAACCUCUAAACAUGUUUUUACAAGAUGACAAAUUCCCUUUACUAAAAAGACAGAGCAUGUUCACCUAUCUAAAAAAUGCUCAACUCUUUUCAAAAUUUGAUCUUAAAUCUGAAUUUUGGCAACUUGAAAUUAAACUUUCAUAACAUUACAAAACUGCCUUUUGCACUCCCCAAUGCCCACUAUCAAUGGACAGUUUUACCCUUUGGUCUUAAAACAACCCCAUCUAUUUUCUAAAAAACCAUGGUCCAAAUCUUCUAACCCAUUUUGCAUAGUGCAUUGAUUUACAUUAAUGAUAUUUUGUUGUUUUCAGGUACACAAGAUGACCAUCGCCAUUUAUUAAAUCAAUUUUUUGAUAUUAUUUAAUCUCAUGGAAUCAUGUUAUCAGCUAAGAAAAGCACAAUUGCCACCAAUAACAUUGAAUUCCUUGGAAUGACUAUCAAAUACGGCCACUAUCGGCCAGGAAAGCACAUUGCUCAAGAGCUCAUCCACUUUCCAGAUCAGAAUCUUUCCAAAAAGCAAAUCCAGCAGUUCCUUGGUAUUAUUAAUUAUAUCAGGGAUUUUAUUCCUCAUGUUGAUCAUCACACCCGCCAGCUGUCAGCCUUGCUGAAGAAGAAUCCACCUUCGUGGAAUAACAACCACACACUUGCUGUCACAAUGUUAAAGCACAUUGCGCAAAAUCCGCCACUAUUAAAGCUCAUCACCGAUGGCAAACGAAUAUUGCAAACUGAUGCAAUUGACGAAUCAUGGGGGGCCAUCCUCCUUGAAGAAACAGAUGGCAAAGAACACUUUAUUGCCUAUGCCAGUGGACACUUUUCUGACACACAAAUUCAUUACCACAAUGUGUUCAAAGAAAUUUUAGAUGUCAAGCAUGGUAUUCAAAAGUUCGAGUAUCAUAUUAUCGGCUAUCACUUUCUUGUCAGAAUGGACAACUCAACUUUUCCCAACAUCAUGAAUUUCAAAGGGAAAAAUGUUCCAGAAAAGAUGUUGCUUAGGCUAAACGACCAGUUUUCAAAAUAUGAUAUCUCUGUGAAGCAUAUAAAAGGAGACCACAACCUUACUCCUGAUAUGCUCUCAAGACUUGCUAAACUAGAUAAAUCCUUGUUUUUCAUAUCCUCAUAAUAAUAUUUUCCUGUCAUCUUCAUGGCCACUUCACUCCCCUCACAAGCUCUUACCCAAAAAAAAUUUCCCCUUGGGAAAACUUUCACCACAGUUUUUGCCAUACAAGAGUUUGUAAAAAAAGUUGUAUUUAGGUUUUUUAUGAAAGCCUAUUUCUUAUCAGACUCAUUUCCAUUUUCCAAUUUUCAUCUAGAAAACUUGUUUUUUACAGGUUUAACCUUGGAUCCUUCCAGAGACAUUUCAGAAGACGAAUUAUGGUACAUCUGGUGCCUAACUGUCCUCUAUGCCACCAAACUGAUUGUUCCAGUAACAACCACCUUAGACCAUUUGUUCAAUCCAAACAAAUCAACCUCACUCAUCUGGACGCUUCUUGAAUGGUUUUCUCCAAUUCCAUGGUGGAGAAUGAAACUUCAACAAUUGUCACAAUUUCAUAACUUGUUCAAUCCAGACAAAUCCAGACCAUUUGUGGAGAAUGAUUUUCUCCACUCAUCUGGACGCUUCUUGAAUGGUUUUCUCCAAUUCCAUGGUGGAGAAUGAAACUUCAACAAUUGUCACAAUUUCAUAACUUGUUCAAUCUAGAGAAUGAAACUUCAACAACCACCUUAGACCAUUUGUUCAAUCCAGACAAAUCAACCUCACUCAUCUGGACGCUUCUUGAAUGGUUUUCUCCAAUUCCAUGGUGGAGAAUGAAACUUCAACAAUUUCAUAACUUGUUCAAUCCAGAGAAUGAAACUUCAACAACCACCAUAGACCAUUUGUUCAAUCCAGACAAAUCAACCUCACUCAUCUGGACGCUUCUUGAAUGGUUUUCUCCAAUUCCAUGGUGGAGAAUGAAACUUCAACAAUUGUCACAAUUUCAUAACUUGGAACGUAUGCCAGCAUCAGAAGCAAAAAUGUUCACAUCUGUGUUCAUUAUUCAUAGACCAUACUUCCAACACCCAGAUACACACUUCUUCUGGACUCAAGAUCAAGUUUUUGAAUGGUUCACCACACUUCACCCAUCUAUCCUUGAACAAGAUGAUAAAGUUCAAAAGGAACUCUAUAAUUUCCUUUGUGAACUGAACCACCAACCUACCUCCCUCGGUCCACAGCAUGAUAUCAUCAUGAUCCCCACUCCUUCAACAAUUUCAAAACCUAAAUCAACGGGUAUUAUCAUCAAGGAAGAAAAACCAGACUUCACUGAUUUUCUAUACCAAGAUGCACAAGACCCAUGGGAAACAUUCUUGCCAUUAAGCCAACAUCUUCAAAACCUCCAACAAACUCCACCAACACAUGCCUCAGACGAUUCAACAAAUAAAGCCAGUUCUAGCACACCAACCGGCUCCAAGGAACACCCAUCCUCUUCUUGGCGCAAAAUAUUUUGCCCUUGGCCACCCUGUCGCCCGGAUCAUCAACAUCCACCAGAAACUUCAUGUUCAUCACUCAAAGUCCUCUUUUCAAAAGAUAAAGAUGAGACCGACAGCUCAUCUGAUGAAGACUACAUGAAUCUCUCAUCUCCGUGAUUCAUGCAAUUUGGCAUCAUUUACUUUUUUCAAAGUUUGUAAUAAUUAAAGCAUGAGUCAUGCUUUAAUUUGUCUUUAUUACUUUUGCUUUUACUUUUUAAAGUUUGUAAUAAUUAAAGCGUGAGUCAUGCUUUAAUUUGUCUUUAUUACUUUUACUUUCCUAAAAACUUAUCGCUUGUAAUUAUGUCUUUACUUUUAGAAAAGUGAUAGGGGCACUGUCCUAUCAUUUUCCUUGGUUUUCCUCCUAUAUAAGCCCAGCUUCUCUUUGUUAGAAGUAUAAUGGAAAAUAAUAAAAUCUCUAGCCUUCUAUAAUCAUGAGUUUCUAAUUUCUCUUUUUCUCUUUGUCAAUGAAGCUCUAAAGUUUUAAAAAUAAGAAGAAAACUUACAUCUGUUCAUUUUGAAACUUAAUGAAGUAUGCUCUGCACUUGCCUUUUGCAAGGAUCCCGUACAUUAGAAAACUUUUGAUAAUUUCUUAUCUGGUUUGGUACCCUGUUUUAGACUAAAUGAAAGUUUGUUUUGGGUUAUAUAACCCGAGAUGAAAAUGUUUCAAAGUUUUUUUAUCUUAGAGGUAUAUCGGCUGGAAACCCGAACUUGCGGACUACUAGUCCAAAGUACAGUUUUAACUGUUAUAGUUCUGGUAUAACAACGCCACGUAUUCUCGUUGAACUUAUGAUCGAGUCCAUCUUAAACUCAAUAUGAUCAGUUCGUAAACUGAUAUGAUUAACCUUCUUAUGGAUAUCAACCAAGGUUUCAUUUUGAGCUCUGGGAUUUUGGGUUUGCCAGUUGAGAACAACUUCAAAAGGUUUGGGGUCUUCUAAGUGACAUGUGGGAGUUAUGGUUGAAGGAAUAAAGGGUUUGGUUAUGACCUUUCGUUGUGGAUCGGUCUGGGUUUCUAGAGCAGGAAAAUUGGAGGAAUAAUCUUGUGAGGUUGAGCGAGAAUACAUGGGCAUUGGGAAUGCAAAAGGCAGUAGCCCGCAAGUUCUGUUUUAUGAGUUCAACGAGAAUACGUGGCGUUGUUAUAAAUCCCUAGACAUUAACUCAUAAAACUCAUGCCCUUGGAAUGGAUAUCAAAUUAUGGGAAGUUCCACACCAAUAAUGGUUGGUAUCUGAUCUGAUUCUGCUAACCCAUGAGUGCGUCAAAGUGGUGCUCAAGUGAAGGAAGAUAUAAGGCAUGGUUCUAGAGCCUAUAGACCAAUUGAUGGUGAAGAGUUACAAUUUUUACAGAAGAGAUUUGUUCUGCACCUUGAUUUUGCACUUGGACUUUCAAGGCAGUGGAGAGAUUAGUGUCUUGAAAAGAAAUGUUGAAAUUGGGAUAGAAAAUGAGUAAAGCACUUCCAGCAUGAAGAGUGGUUAAGGCAGUACCAAUAACAACAUCUUGAAAAUGUGUGAACCUAGCAUCCAGCAUAGCAAUUCUGACUGUGACUAGUAAUCCUUUCCUUCCAUGUAAGGUUAGGAUUAGUCUGACUCCUCUGAUAUGGAGAUAAGUAUAACAUUCUCUUUGCCAAUUGGAAAUCAAUUCUGGGGGAAUUUUCAGAGUGACAUAUUGUUCAGGUGUGGUAGCCUGAAGGAAACACUAAUCCAAUCUGGAUGACUGAAUAUAUUCUUUUGGAUGUGGGUACAAGUAUAAAAUAAUUAAUUUGAUAAAUUAUUUUUAUAAAAUAAUUAUUAGUAAAAUUAUUGCACAAGUAUAAAAGAGUACCAAUUCUUUUGCAAUUAUAUUUAUUUUUUAAUUUAUUAAUAAAUAAUUAUUUAUUAAUUAAAUUAUAUAUAUAUUAAUCAAUGUAAAAAAUAUUAUUAGAAGGAUAUUAUUAUAAAAAAAAUAAAAAGUAAGAGUAAAAUUUUUUUUUAAUUAUAAGCAUAUUUUAAAAUAUUUUAAAAAUAUGGAAAUUAAUUGGAAACUUCAAGUCAAAAUACUUGCCCUUUAAAGAAUUUCAAAAAAAAAAUUACUUGAAAAAGCCUCUGCGAGUAAACGGUUCAAUUGAAAUCUCACAAUGCCCUUUAAAGAAUUUCGGGAAAAAAAAAAAUUACUUGAAGAAGCCUCUGCGAGUAAACGGUUCAAUUGAAAUCUUACAAUAACUCGUAGCAAAUAUAACACCGAAAAAUGUGCACUUUAGAGAAACACGGCGACGUUUUUGUCCUAACCUUAACCGGUUCCUCCGACGUUGACGAACACCGGUUCGGUCCUCCCGCAAUCGACUCGAUCCUCUCGGCUAUCGCCAAAGCCAAAGCCGAAGCAACUCCCGGCUCCGCUCUUAUAACCACUUCUCAUGGCAAAUUCUUCUCCAACGGCUUCGACCUCGCCUGGGCCCAAGCCGCCGGCUCACGAACCGGCGCCCGGGAACGCCUCCACUAUAUGGUCGAAUCCUUCAGGCCGGUGGUAGCCGCCAUGAUGGAUCUACCCAUGCCUACCGUGGCCGCCGUCAACGGCCACGCAGCCGCCGCAGGGUUGACGCUGGCUUUGAGCCAUGAUUACGUCAUCAUGAGGCGUGAUAAGGGCGUGCUGUACAUGAGCGAGGUGGAUAUCGGGCUCACUCUGCCGGAUUAUUUU